CCUACGGGCGGCAGCAGUGAGGAAUAUUGGUCAAUGGCCGAGAGGCUGAACCAGCCAAGUCGCGUGAGGGAAGACGGCCCUACGGGUUGUAAACUUCUUUUGUGCGGGGAUAAAGUGCGUCACGUGUGGUUUUUUGUAGGUACCGCAAGAAUAAGGACCGGCUAAUUCCGUGCCAGCAGCCGCGGUAAUACGGAGGAUGCGAGCGUUAUCCGGAUUUAUUGGGUUUAAAGGGAGCGUAGGCGGCGGUGUAAGCCUGCGGUAAAAUUCCGGGGCUCAACCACGCACUGCGGGGGGAACUGGCUCGCUUGAGUGCGCGGAACGUAUGCGGAAUGCGUGGUGUAGCGGUGAAAUGCAUAGAUAUCACGAAGAACUCCGAUUGCGAAGGCAGCAUACGGCAGCGCUACUGACGCUGAUGCUCGAAGGCGCGGGUAUCGAACAGGAUUAGAUACCCGUGUAGUC
RNAcentral lists this ribosomal RNA (459 nucleotides) under uncultured bacterium. RNAcentral's name for it is "partial 16S ribosomal RNA". It matches the Rfam family "Bacterial small subunit ribosomal RNA", at positions 338 to 795 of the family's 1533-position model. The record is from RNAcentral.